GCUGUUUUAAUUUGCAAAAAUUCUUAGGCAUACUUACCUUGCAUUUAUUGCCUGAUCAAAACGGGAUCCGAGGAGAGGAAUGCCAUACUCUUAGAUCAAAGACUUUGGAAAUUAAAAAAACUUGUCAACUCUUACUGACAUAUUGUUUAUUAGAGGGACCAUGGGCUAUCAUUUUCUUCUUUUUCUCUUUUUUUCAGGUGGAUAUCGAGGUACCCCUAAUUCUACUGCCGGACACUCGUUCAUUUUUUUCUGCGAGGUUGUCGAGCACUUACUCCUUUUUAUUUCCUCGAAAUAUUCAUAUUUUUGCAUAGCCCAUGCCUCUAAUGCAAUAAUACUUCGAAAGAGUGAAUCUUUCUGAGUAAAUAUCUUGAUCUUAAGAGCAUGAUAAAUCUCUCAAUAAGGGUCUAACUCAUUUUGAACAAACUCAAUAUAGGUUAGAUAGCUUUUGUAAUUAUCAAUAUUUUCAGGUUUAUCAGGCAUAUAAAACACUGAGGAUGGUAGCUAGAAUUUUUAAAGAUAAAUUCUCCAAGCAGCAUUGAUAUCAAGAAUAAGGUACUCAUACUCUACCAUCUUACAUUCCACAGUGAUUUAAAUAACACAGGGUUUUAAAAUGAUUUUUCUAUAAU
RNAcentral lists this long non-coding RNA (626 nucleotides) under Sorghum bicolor (sorghum). RNAcentral describes it as "long non-coding RNA (SBIC_LNC018066)". The record is from RNAcentral. Lineage: Eukaryota; Viridiplantae; Streptophyta; Magnoliopsida; Poales; Poaceae.